UCCGUCAGGUCACAGCCAAAGGCGCUGGCGGCUCCCUUUCGUUUCAGCUUCUGCUUGGCACCCUUGUUCUUCAUGAGUUAGUCCCAAAGAGGUUGCCCCUCCGUCUUCCCCUCCCCGCUGCUUGGCACCGCGCCUGCGAUGGUCUCCGGGGGAGACACUUAAAGAGUAAUGACGGAAACAAAAACAGGGAUUCCAGCGGAGAAACCUGACGGGGAGCGGUUUUCAGCCGGCCACUCCCAACCUUCCACCCUCAUUUCCGGCGCCCAGGAAUUUACUGUACCAAAGGCUUUCAUAUUUGACCGACAGUGCAUUUCAUCAUUUUGGUAGCAAAGGAGAGAGGCUAAAGGGUUGCUCUUUUCCUGGGUCCAGACCCCUAAGCACAAAUUAUGGCUCUCAACUAUCUACACCUUAUGGUGGGAAGAACUCACAAUUUAUCAGGCUGGAUAAUGAAGCUACACGGUGACAGCCUGACCCAGGGAGCUGGAAGGUUGCCCUCUCCCGGUUUGCUCCCCACCCCCUCUCAUUGCUGAGUAAGCCCUGUGAUAAUUGCCGAAUUUAAAUCUAGCCCUUGUUCUGGACACUCUCCUUCUAUUUUUCUUUCUCUUCCCAUUUUUCUUUUUCUCUUUGCUUACUCUAAGAUGUGUACCUUUCUCUGGGUCUGUGGAAGGAAGUCAGA
Long non-coding RNA from Globicephala melas (long-finned pilot whale), 676 nucleotides. RefSeq lists it as uncharacterized. The record is from RefSeq and is a predicted model, not a curated record. NCBI's taxonomy places the organism in Eukaryota, Metazoa, Chordata, Mammalia, Artiodactyla, Delphinidae.